RNAcentral lists this ribosomal RNA (409 nucleotides) under Fusobacteriota bacterium. RNAcentral describes it as "Fusobacteria bacterium partial 16S ribosomal RNA". It matches the Rfam family "Bacterial small subunit ribosomal RNA", at positions 355 to 776 of the family's 1533-position model. The record is from RNAcentral. Lineage: Bacteria; Fusobacteriati; Fusobacteriota.
UGGGGAAUAUUGCACAAUGGAGGGAACUCUGAUGCAGCAACGCCGCGUGCGGGAUGACGGCCUUCGGGUUGUAAACCGCUUUCAGCCAUGACGAAGCUUUUGUGACGGUAGUGGUAGAAGAAGCACCGGCUAACUACGUGCCAGCAGCCGCGGUGAUACGUAGGGUGCGAGCGUUGUCCGGAAUUAUUGGGCGUAAAGAGCUUGUAGGCGGUUUGCCGCGUCGAUAGUGUAAACACGCAGCUUAACUGUGGGCCUGCUGUCGAUACGGGCUGACUAGAGGAGGGUAGGGGAGAAUGGAAUUCCCGGUGGAGCGGUGGAAUGCGCAGAUAUCGGGAGGAACACCAGUGGCGAAGGCGGUUCUCUGGACCUUUCCUGACGCUGAGAAGCGAAAGCGUGGGUGGCAAACAGG